RNAcentral lists this ribosomal RNA (108 nucleotides) under Staphylococcus warneri. Its description in RNAcentral is "partial 16S ribosomal RNA". It matches the Rfam family "Bacterial small subunit ribosomal RNA", at positions 1435 to 1533 of the family's 1533-position model. RNAcentral also lists the same sequence under 3 other names. Lineage: Bacteria; Bacillati; Bacillota; Bacilli; Caryophanales; Staphylococcaceae. The record is from RNAcentral.
GUAACCAUUUAUGGAGCUAGCCGUCGAAGGUGGGACAAAUGAUUGGGGUGAAGUCGUAACAAGGUAGCCGUAUCGGAAGGUGCGGCUGGAUCACCUCCUUUCUAAGGA